UGGGGAAUAUUGGGCAAUGGGCGAAAGCCUGACCCAGCAACGCCGCGUGAGGGAAGAAGGUUUUCGGAUUGUAAACCUCUGUCCUUGGUGACGAAACAAAUGACGGUAGCCAAGGAGGAAGCCCCGGCUAACUACGUG
Molecule: ribosomal RNA, 138 nt
Filed under: uncultured bacterium
Lineage: Bacteria
Description: partial 16S ribosomal RNA
Rfam family: Bacterial small subunit ribosomal RNA
Source: RNAcentral